AUGAGAACGCGAGAAGAUGGCCGUGAAAGGACGAUUACCGUGGAUCACUUUCAACGUAUAAAAAGAGCGCGUUUCUUGCACUAAUUCAGAGCAGUUCUCCGCUUGCAAUCAGUCUUCAACUCCCAAAAACUUCCACUAAAAAAUGUACAAGGUUUUCGUUUUCCUCGCUAUCGUCGCCGCUGCCAGCGCUAUGAACUUCGGCUUGGGAGCUCCUCUCCUCUCCAAAGUCAACUACCAGCCAGCUGAGUACACUCACGUCCGACCGGAAGUGACAGUUCAGCAGCCGGAAUAUAAAUACAAGAGCGUGCCUGUUCCAGUCCCAGUUGCCCAGCCGUACUACACCGCUCCCGUUGUCCGCAACUUUGUCGCCGCUCCCCAGUUUGCCGCUUACCCCGGCUUCGGUGGCUUCCCAUUCGGUUAUUAAGCGAAAAUUUUUAUGAUUCCUCCACGUACAUUGUUUCUAUACUCUUCGACCCUUUGAUCGCAACAAUAAAAAAGAUUUUUUAACGA
This is a long non-coding RNA of Daphnia pulex (common water flea), 510 nucleotides long. RefSeq lists it as uncharacterized. Lineage: Eukaryota; Metazoa; Arthropoda; Branchiopoda; Diplostraca; Daphniidae. The record is from RefSeq and is a predicted model, not a curated record. The transcript has 2 exons.